This 284-nucleotide long non-coding RNA is filed under the name Hordeum vulgare. Its description in RNAcentral is "long non-coding RNA (HVUL_LNC007243)". Lineage: Eukaryota; Viridiplantae; Streptophyta; Magnoliopsida; Poales; Poaceae. The record is from RNAcentral.
AGUCAUGUUGAAGGUGGAGCUGGAGUCUAGUAGAAUAUUUCACUCUGUGUUGAUGGAGGGGCUACGGCGUAAAUGCAUGGAGAGUCGAAGCCUAUUUCAACGGAUAGCGAGAGACACGUGGAUCGGACUGGGUACCAGUAGUCUGAAGACAUGAUACUCGGCACCGGUCGGUGAUGAUCGGUGGUACUCUGCAGUGGGGACUGAGUGGUGUGGGUUCGCGACCCUUGAGACUCGACCGGGACAGCGGAGGCUCGACGCGGUAAUAGCGGCGAGGCGUGCGGUAC